Peromyscus maniculatus bairdii (prairie deer mouse) is the source of this 435-nucleotide non-coding RNA. The record is from RefSeq and is a predicted model, not a curated record. Lineage: Eukaryota; Metazoa; Chordata; Mammalia; Rodentia; Cricetidae.
CACAGCAACCGCAAACCCCCAGCUUCCAGAGCGGCCCUUUGACGGCUGGCAGCCAUAUUGGAUUGGACCCACCCUACCAAAGACAGGAGCUGCCUCGGGGUAACAGCCAGUAAUCACUGGAGUAAGCAGUACCCUUCUGUCCUGGUCUCAUCUCCACUGCGGCGAUAAACCACUCUGACCAAAGCAGCUCAGGAGAGGGGCACCGUGGGGUGGCUCCCACAGUCCACUGAGGGAAGUCCGGCAGGGAUCGAAGCAAGAACUUGAAGCAGAAACCGUCGAGGAACACCGCUGGCUAGCUCAAUGGCAGCAGGAGACUGUGCAGUGGGUCAAGACACCCCGCUUCAUGGGAAAACCUCGUUUGUCAUUCCCACCACUGAUUCGGACCACACGACCCGUCCACUCUUCACCCAGAGCAUCAGCAGCGACUUCUGUGGC